This 490-nucleotide ribosomal RNA is filed under the name uncultured bacterium. RNAcentral's name for it is "partial 16S ribosomal RNA". It matches the Rfam family "Bacterial small subunit ribosomal RNA", at positions 30 to 507 of the family's 1533-position model. The record is from RNAcentral.
AUUGAACGCUGGCGGCAGGCCUAACACAUGCAAGUCGAGCGGUAACAGGAAGAAGCUUGCUUCUUUGCUGACGAGUGGCGGACGGGUGAGUAAUGUCUGGGAAACUGCCUGAUGGAGGGGGAUAACUACUGGAAACGGUAGCUAAUACCGCAUAACGUCGCAAGACCAAAGAGGGGGACCUUCGGGCCUCUUGCCAUCGGAUGUGCCCAGAUGGGAUUAGCUAGUAGGUGGGGUAACGGCUCACCUAGGCGACGAUCCCUAGCUGGUCUGAGAGGAUGACCAGCCACACUGGAACUGAGACACGGUCCAGACUCCUACGGGAGGCAGCAGUGGGGAAUAUUGCACAAUGGGCGCAAGCCUGAUGCAGCCAUGCCGCGUGUAUGAAGAAGGCCUUCGGGUUGUAAAGUACUUUCAGCGGGGAGGAAGGGAGUAAAGUUAAUACCCUUGCUCAUUGACGUUACCCGCAGAAGAAGCACCGGCUAACUCCGUG